RNAcentral lists this ribosomal RNA (470 nucleotides) under uncultured bacterium. RNAcentral's name for it is "partial 16S ribosomal RNA". It matches the Rfam family "Bacterial small subunit ribosomal RNA", at positions 328 to 794 of the family's 1533-position model. The record is from RNAcentral.
UGGCCAGACUCCUACGGGAGGCAGCAGUGAGGAAUAUUGGUCAAUGGGCGCGAGCCUGAACCAGCCAAGUCGCGUGGGGGAGGACGGCCCUACGGGUUGUAAACCUCUUUUGCCGGGGAGCAACGGGCGUCACGUGUGGCGCCACUGAGAGUACCCGGAGAAAAAGCAUCGGCUAACUCCGUGCCAGCAGCCGCGGUAAUACGGAGGAUCCGAGCGUUAUCCGGAUUUAUUGGGUUUAAAGGGAGCGUAGGUGGAUUGUUAAGUCAGUUGUGAAAGUUUGCGGCUCAACCGUAAAAUUGCAGUUGAAACUGGCAGUCUUGAGUACAGUAGAGGUGGGCGGAAUUCGUGGUGUAGCGGUGAAAUGCUUAGAUAUCACGAAGAACCCCGAUUGCGAAGGCAGCUUACUAAACUGUGACUGACAUUGAUGCUCGAAAGUGUGGGUAUCAAACAGGAUUAGAUACCCUCGUAUA